UGCUUUCUCUUCAGAUUGUAUAAAUCUUUCGCCUUUACUAAAGAUUUCUGUGGAGAGAAAAAUGUAA
Molecule: small nuclear RNA, 67 nt
Filed under: Salvator merianae (Argentine black and white tegu)
Lineage: Eukaryota; Metazoa; Chordata; Lepidosauria; Squamata; Teiidae
Description: U5 spliceosomal RNA (ENSSMRG00000009262.1)
Rfam family: U5 spliceosomal RNA
About the family: U5 RNA is a component of both types of known spliceosome. The precise function of this molecule is unknown, though it is known that the 5' loop is required for splice site selection and p220 binding, and that both the 3' stem-loop and the Sm site are important for Sm protein binding and cap methylation.
Source: RNAcentral